This 468-nucleotide ribosomal RNA is filed under the name uncultured bacterium. RNAcentral describes it as "partial 16S ribosomal RNA". It matches the Rfam family "Bacterial small subunit ribosomal RNA", at positions 28 to 507 of the family's 1533-position model. The record is from RNAcentral.
GACGAACGCUGGCGGCGUGCUCAACACAUGCAAGCCGAACGGAAAGGCCCUGUUUUUGUGGUGUGCUCGAGUGGCGAACGCGUGAGUAACACGUGAGUAACCUGCCCUUGACUUUGGGAUAACUUCAGGAAACUGGGGCUAAUACCGGAUAGGAGCUCCCGCUGCAUGGUGGGGGUUGGAAAGUUUCGGCGGCUGGGGCUGGACUCGCGGGUUAUCAGCUUGUUGGUGGGGUAGUGGCUUACCAAGGCUUUGACGGGUAGCCGGCCGGAGAGGGUGACCGGCCACAUGGGGACUGAGAUACGGCCCAGACUCAUACGGGCGGCAGCAGUGGGGAUUAUUGCACAAGGGGCGGAUGCCUGAUGCAGCGACGACGCGUGCGGGAUGACGGCCUUCGGGUUGUAAACCGCUUACGCCUGUGACGAAGCGUGAGUGAAGGUAAUGGGUAGAGAAGCACCGGCUAACUACGUG